Molecule: long non-coding RNA, 1532 nt
Organism: Cyprinus carpio (common carp)
Lineage: Eukaryota; Metazoa; Chordata; Actinopteri; Cypriniformes; Cyprinidae
Source: Ensembl
GUUAUGUAAAGUUUUUGUUAUGUUAAGUUUUUCAGUGCCAUUGACUUCCAUUAUUUCUCGGCGUUUUGCUUCAGUUUUCAGUCCAUAAUGGCGGCCGUGCCGUCACGUCAUGGGGGCAACUGUUGCUAUGGUGCGUUCAAUUGAGUUUCGCCUCUUGGCUUCUAUACUCUUUGAUGUUACGAAUAGAGACCCUAUCUGGGACGUUAUAGAGUGCCGAAGUUAUGACGUCACUUUGUAGGCCAAAACGCGGAAGUGAGUUAGCAUUUUAGCACCUCCGGUUCCCUCGCCCUAAAGUCUAUGGGUUUUUUGAAUGGGUUUUUGCUAAAUCGCCUGAAAUAAGGUCUGUGGUUAACAAAGCCUCUAAAUAUUUUCACGUUUUGAUCUAUGACAUAAAACACACCAGUUAUAACCUGCUUGUGAUUUUUUUUAACUUUAUUGUGUCUUAAGAACGGUGGUUGCUAACAAGUUGCUAAAAGGGACUACAUCCUUGGGCGGGGACUUUAGACGUCAUCAUGACAAACAGGAAAUCUCUCACUAACCCGCGUUUCAGCCUCAUUUAGUCUUUUCAAAUUGUAGUUUUUCCAAAUAUUGUUGUACACAGAAUUCUGUGAUAUUAAGGUAACCGAUUAUCAGUUCUUUAUUUCUGUGGAGAGACUGUAGUUCGACAAUGGUGUUUUGUUUUGUCCCGAGAUGCAACCUCAAGUCGUCGAAUGAAAGAUGCUCGUUUUACCGUUUUCCGUCCGGUUACCCAGCGGAGACUCUGGGUUCGUGCUGUAAGACGAGCUGACCGGAAGCCCAGUGUCCAUUCUCGCAUCUGCAGCUGUCAUUUUCCUGCAGGGGAAAAAAAUGCCCCUGUUUUGUUUUUAGUUACCAAACGGAAGUUGUUUUCAGUUUACUUAUUUUAUGAAAAUAAAGAUGUUUACUACAACUCUUGCUGUAAGGUUUCUGUGGCUCAAUUAUUAGAGCAUUUUGUUAACUGUGCAAAAGGUUGCGAGUUCAAUUCCCAGAGAACACGCUGAUAUGUAUAGCCUGAAUACACUGUAUGUCGCCUGUCUGACAAAUACCAAAAAUUAAAUGUUAAACCAGUGCUUCCCAAACCUGUCCUGGAGGACCCCCAAUCCUAGUUUUACUUACCGAGACUCGAUAAACCUUGUCUCUCAUGCUGGGCCUUACAAUACCGGUAAGUAAACCAGCAUCUAAGCUGCACUGUUCUACAUGUCCAGAUUUAUAGUGGUUCUCUCCUCAAUCUAUGGUUUUUCUAGCGUCUAAGAAAAAGGACAUAAGAUUGGAAAUUGAUACGGCCAUAGCUAACGUUAGUGCUUCUGAGAUAGUAAAAGCGAGUUUUUUUUUUUUUUUUUCUGGCGAAUUAGCAAAUGGUAUGCAAACAUACAAUCAAACAUAAUACAGUGAAAGAUAAUCUUUAAAAUUUAUUUGGGGCACAAUGAUCAGGCAUAAUCUUAAUCACAAAGAAAAUAAUAUUAAGGUUUAUAUAAACUAACAAAAUAAUAAACGAAUAAAUAAAACAUUAAACA